This is a long non-coding RNA of Conger conger (European conger), 229 nucleotides long. RefSeq lists it as uncharacterized. The record is from RefSeq and is a predicted model, not a curated record. NCBI's taxonomy places the organism in Eukaryota, Metazoa, Chordata, Actinopteri, Anguilliformes, Congridae. The transcript is spliced from 3 exons.
AGACUUUCCUCAAGACUGCGUUUGUGUGCACACAGUUCCACGUACUUGCCCAUCAUCAUUUAAAAUGGCUCAUCCUUCAGGACAAAGCAUUGGAGGAAAUUACAAAAGGAUCUGGAUUGUGGGCUCAAGCCUCAUACGUCGUGCUGAACCAAGGGCUGUCCAAACCAUGGGGAGAAACCUGGGGCUCAACGCCACAGUAUCUUGGUUUGGACAGGGAGGCCUGCGCUGG